AACGAACGCUGGCGGCAUGCCUAACACAUGCAAGUCGAACGAUCCCUUCGGGGAUAGUGGCGCACGGGUGCGUAACGCGUGGGAACCUGCCCUUAGGUUCGGAAUAACUCAGAGAAAUUUGAGCUAAUACCGGAUAAUGUCUUCGGACCAAAGAUUUAUCGCCUUUGGAUGGGCCCGCGUUGGAUUAGCUAGUUGGUGGGGUAAAGGCCUACCAAGGCGACGAUCCAUAGCUGGUCUGAGAGGAUGAUCAGCCACACUGGGACUGAGACACGGCCCAGACUCCUACGGGAGGCAGCAGUGGGGGAUAUUGGACAAUGGGCGAAAGCCUGAUCCAGCAAUGCCGCGUGAGUGAUGAAGGCCUUAGGGUUGUAAAGCUCUUUUACCCGGGAUGAUAAUGACAGUACCGGGAGAAUAAGCCCCGGCUAACUCCGUG
Molecule: ribosomal RNA, 433 nt
Filed under: uncultured bacterium
Lineage: Bacteria
Description: partial 16S ribosomal RNA
Rfam family: Bacterial small subunit ribosomal RNA
Source: RNAcentral